This 2849-nucleotide ribosomal RNA is filed under the name Ambystoma mexicanum (axolotl). Its description in RNAcentral is "eukaryotic LSU rRNA". The stretch from base 1561 to 2849 matches the Rfam family "Eukaryotic large subunit ribosomal RNA", at positions 1889 to 3385 of the family's 3401-position model. The record is from RNAcentral. Lineage: Eukaryota; Metazoa; Chordata; Amphibia; Caudata; Ambystomatidae.
GUUCAGAUAAGGGUUGAUAUGGGAUGGAAUGGUGUUCAGAGGUGGUGCAGAGCUGUGGGGUUCUUGCUGUUGAUGCCGGGCAAGGAGGGAGGUGUUUGCAAUCUGGCAAGGGGCCAGGUGUGAGUGGGGUAGAUCGUGGGAUUAUACAUCAUGUAGUAUUCUGACUUUGUGGAAGUCAGCUGGGAUGGUAAACUGGAUGUAUAGCUAUGUGCUAAGGCUAGUAAAGAUAGUAAUGUGAAGUGGCAUAGGGUAGUAUGAAGAUUGCACAAGUGAAAUGCAAUAGGUUCGGUAAAUAGGCGUGUCUGUGAGUACUUAGGUGCUAGUGGUGGUGCUAGAGUUGGACAAGUUUGUACGGGAGUAGUACUAUGUUGAAAGGGUGGCUAGGUGGGUGCAGAUGAGCAAGGAGUGGUGACAAUGGGUGUACGUUAAGGGGGAUAUUACAAGUGUAGUAGUGGGAGAAGGGCUCUAGUCUUAGCUUAUGUGUGACAGGCAGGCAUUUAAGGGUGGGUCGGGGCAAACUGGUACGUUGGGUAAGGGUGUGCAGUGCAAAGCGUUUCCAAGCAGAAUAAUGCAUAUACAGGCUAAGCAAGUUCAAGAGAGUACACAGAUGGCACAGGCAAGCUUGAGCUUGUGGACAAAACAGGCUAGAUCAACAUGCAAUGCAAUUCAGUUAAGCAAGAUCAAUUAGGCACACAGAUAAUGAGAGCAAGCAGAAGCAGAUCAGUAAGAGCAUGCUAAUGACACAGGGAGGAGCAAGCAAUACAGUGCGUGGCUGGGCUUACAAAUGCAGAAGCACACUAGGCAGACACGAUUCUAGGACACAUGAGAGUUUGCAGGCCUAAGUGGCAAUGACAAUGCAGGAAAGUCAAGCACAAGGAAAAGCGGGCAUUCCUACAGGGAUGGUUCAACAGUGUUCUACAGAGCCACUUUAGAUUGCGGUAUCACAUUCACUAGGCGAAUGCGCGCUAAACAAGUUAUACCUUAUGCUGCAUGAUGCCCUUUACAGGACGUGUGCAAGGAGAGUCGCGUGUGCGUUCCAUAGGCAAAGAUUGUAGACAGGUAUUUAGUGCAUGGUAGAGGGCAAGUGCAAAUAGGAAAGGUGGCCGGACAUGAAUGAUACUAUCUGCGGCUAAAUGAUGCAUCAGCAAAGGCAAGCAGAGUCGGACACCACAGUACCGGAUCAGCAAUUGCUGUAGGUGUAAUGGGGUCAGAGCUGGCGUGUUCGCAGUGGUAAAGUAUUUUAGGGUGCAGGUGCCAAGAUCCGGGGUGUGAAGCAUCAUUGAAGUAGGUUUCGGCUAAAGUGGUUUUCAAUAAAAUUACAGCUUACCCGGAUGGGUGGUAUCAGGCAUUGGACCAGGGGCACACGGACAGGGUUCCUGGCCCUGGCCUCUGUCAGCCCUGGACUGGCUCGGGACAGGAGUAGCCUUUGAAUUGUGCCUUGGGAAGUGGGCCGACUUCUCACAGCAAUUCUCCCUGGUAAUUGUCUUGUCUAUCCUCCCCCCUCAAGAAAUUGUGACAUAUUAAUAUUUCAAUUUUCUAUGUAAGGCACCAGGCUCUUAAGAGGGACCUCUGCAUGUAGUGUAUGCACUUGCUUAUUCUGGAAGCUCAAUCUGUUUUAAUUAAAACAAAGCAUCGCGAAGGCCCGCGGUGAGUGUUGACGCAAUGUGAUUUCUGCCCAGUGCUCUGAAUGUCAAAGUGAAGAAAUUCAAUGAAGCGCGGGUAAACGGCAGGAGUAACUAUGACUCUCUUAAGGUAGCCAAAUGCCUCGUCAUCUAAUUAGUGACGUGCAUGAAUGGAUGAACGAGAUUCCCACUGUCCCUACCUGCUAUCUAGCGAAACCACAGCCAAGGGAACGGGCUUGGCAGAAUCAGUGGAGAAAGAAGACCCCGCGGGGCGUGCCUCUAGUCUGGGACUGUGAAGAGACAUGAGAGGUGUAGGAUAAGUGGGAGGCCCUCGGGCCGCCGGUGAAAUACAACUACUCUUAUCGUUUUUUCACUUACCCGGUGAGGCGGGGGGGCGAGCCCCGUGGGGCUCUCACUUCUGGCUCCAAACGCUGGCGCCCGCCGGGCGCGACCCACUCUGGGGACAGUGGCAGGUGGGGAGUUUGACUGGGACGGUAUACCUGUCAAACGAUAACGCAGGUGUCCUAAGGCGAUCUCAGGGAGGACAGAAACCUCCCGCGGAGCAGAAGGGCAAAACUUGCUUGAUCUCGAUUUUCAGUAGGAAUACUGACCAUGAAAGCGGGCCCUCACAAUCCUUCUGACUUUUUGGGUUUCAAGCAGGAGGUGUCAGAAAAGUUACCACAGGGAUAACUUGCUUGUGGCGGCCUUCGAUGUCGGCUCUUCCUAUCAUUGUGAAGCAGAAUUCACCAAGAGUUGGAUUGUUCACCCACUAAUACGGAACGUGAGCUGGGUUUAGACUGUUGUGAGACAGGUUAGUUUUACCCUACUGAUGAUGUGUUGUUGCAAUAGUAAUCCUGCUCAGUAUGAGAGGAGCAGCAGGUUCAGACAUUUGGUAUAUGUGCUUGGCUGAGGAGCCAAUAGGGCGAAGCUACCAUCUGUGGGAUUAUGACUGAACGCCUCUAAGUCAGAAUCCCCCUAAACCGUAACGAUACCGCAGCGCUGUGGAGCCUCGGUUGGCCUAGGAUAGCCGGCAUCUGGGCCGGUGCGUAGAGCCGCUCGCCUCGGGACUCAAGUGUGGACAGAAGGGGGCCACCUCUCUCGCCCGUAGUGCACCGCAUGUUCGUAGGGAACCUGGUGCUAAAUCAUUCGUAGACGACCUGAUUCUGGGUCAGGGUUUCGUAAGUAGCAGAGCAGCUACAUUGAUGCGAUCUAUAGAAAGUCAUCCUC